GACGAACGCUGGCGGCGUGCCUAAUACAUGCAAGUAGAACGCUGAAGAGAGGAGCUUGCUCUUCUUGGAUGAGUUGCGAACGGGUGAGUAACGCGUAGGUAACCUGCCUGGUAGCGGGGGAUAACUAUUGGAAACGAUAGCUAAUACCGCAUAAAAUUGAUUAUUGCAUGAUAAUUAAUUGAAAGAUGCAACUGCAUCACUACCAGAUGGACCUGCGUUGUAUUAGCUAGUUGGUGAGGUAACGGCUCACCAAGGCGACGAUACAUAGCCGACCUGAGAGGGUGAUCGGCCACGCUGGGACUGAGACACGGCCCAGACUCCUACGGGAGGCAGCAGUAGGGAAUCUUCGGCAAUGGGGGGAACCCUGACCGAGCAACGCCGCGUGAGUGAAGAAGGUUUUCGGAUCGUAAAGCUCUGUUGUAAGAGAAGAACGGGUGUGAGAGUGGAAAGUUCACAGGGUGACG
Molecule: ribosomal RNA, 464 nt
Filed under: Streptococcus sanguinis
Lineage: Bacteria; Bacillati; Bacillota; Bacilli; Lactobacillales; Streptococcaceae
Description: bacterial SSU rRNA
Rfam family: Bacterial small subunit ribosomal RNA
Source: RNAcentral